CCUACGGGAGGCAGCAGUGAGGAAUAUUGGUCAAUGGGCGAGAGCCUGAACCAGCCAAGUCGCGUGAGGGAGUACUGCCCUAUGGGUUGUAAACCUCUUUUGUCGGGGAGCAAAAGCCGGACGUGUCCGGCUGUGAGAGUACCCUAAGAAAAAGCAUCGGCUACCUCCGUGCCAGCAGCCGCGGUAAUACGGCGGAUGCGAGCGUUAUCCGGAUUUAUUGGGUUUAAAGGGUGCGCAGGCGGAUUUUUAAGUCAGCGGUAAAAUCGUGGGGCUCAACCCCAUCCAGCCGUUGAAACUGGGGAUCUAGAGUGUGCGAGAGGUAUGCGGAAUGCGUGGUGUAGCGGUGAAAUGCAGAGAUAGCACGCAGAACCCCGAUUGCGAAGGCAGCAUACCGGUGCACAACUGACGCUCAGGCACGAAAGCGUGGGUAUCGAACAGGAUUAGAUACCCGAGUAGUC
This 458-nucleotide ribosomal RNA is filed under the name uncultured bacterium. RNAcentral describes it as "partial 16S ribosomal RNA". It matches the Rfam family "Bacterial small subunit ribosomal RNA", at positions 338 to 795 of the family's 1533-position model. The record is from RNAcentral.